UACGAAGGGGGCUAGCGUUGUUCGGAUUUACUGGGCGUAAAGCGCACGUAGGCGGGGCGUUAAGUCAGGGGUGAAAUCCCGGAGCUCAACUCCGGAACUGCCUUUGAUACUGGCGACCUUGAGGCUGGAAGAGGUUAGUGGAAUUCCCAGUGUAGAGGUGAAAUUCGUAGAUAUUGGGAAGAACACCAGUGGCGAAGGCGGCUAACUGGUCCAGAUCUGACGCUGAGGUGCGAAAGCGUGGGGAGCAAACAGG
RNAcentral lists this ribosomal RNA (253 nucleotides) under uncultured bacterium. RNAcentral describes it as "partial 16S ribosomal RNA". It matches the Rfam family "Bacterial small subunit ribosomal RNA", at positions 524 to 776 of the family's 1533-position model. The record is from RNAcentral.